UUGGUGCCUUCGGGAACUCUGAGACAGGUGCUGCAUGGCUGUCGUCAGCUCGUGUUGUGAAAUGUUGGGUUAAGUCCCGCAACGAGCGCAACCCUUAUCCUUUGUUGCCAGCGGUCCGGCCGGGAACUCAAAGGAGACUGCCAGUGAUAAACUGGAGGAAGGUGGGGAUGACGUCAAGUCAUCAUGGCCCUUACGAGUAGGGCUACACACGUGCUACAAUGGCGCAUACAAAGAGAAGCGACCUCGCGAGAGCAAGCGGACCUCAUAAAGUGCGUCGUAGUCCGGAUUGGAGUCUGCAACUCGACUCCAUGAAGUCGGAAUCGCUAGUAAUCGUGGAUCAGAAUGCCACGGUGAAUACGUUCCCGGGCCUUGUACACACCGCCCGUCACACCAUGGGAGUGGGUUGCAAAAGAAGUAGGUAGCUUAACCUUCGGGAGGGCGCUUACCACUUUGUGAUUCAUGACUGGGGUGAAGUCGUAACAAGGUAACCGUAGGGGAACCUGCGGUUGGAUCACCUCCUUACCUUAAAGAA
Molecule: ribosomal RNA, 532 nt
Filed under: Brevibacillus agri
Lineage: Bacteria; Bacillati; Bacillota; Bacilli; Caryophanales; Paenibacillaceae
Also listed under: 1 other name
Description: partial 16S ribosomal RNA
Rfam family: Bacterial small subunit ribosomal RNA
Source: RNAcentral